AAUAGUACCAGAAUCUCUUUCCACAUAGAGGACAUUCUUUGGUUAUUACCACCAAUUGCGGAUGAGACAAAGAUUAAGUGGGCUACAAAAUAGGCAAACAUGUUGAUAGCAGACAGGGUAGCUUGUAAUGUCAGUUUAAAGAGAGACUUGCCUCAUUUGCAUUGCUCCAAAGUAAUGAAACCUAUUUCAUUUGAUUUUCAAAGGGGAAAAAAAAUUCAUUCCAAACGAAUCACCACAACUUUAUAGAAUAUAAAAGCAAUGACCAGCAGGCAGUGGGUGUGUUCAGCCGGUGGAAACAAUCAACACAGGCUAUAUCAGGUUGCGCUACUCAACUUGUCACUAAGGGAUCCAAAAUUACCUUUGCUUACUUUUCAGGAUCUCUUUUGAAGGAUCCAGCAGGAACCACACUUGCAGAUUCAUGAUUAGUACCACUCAUAACAUCUAAACCUUGUUCCUGGUUAGUUGAAUUUGGCCCAUGUAUCCGCUGAGGCCUGGCAUUAAGAUCAAUCAAUUUGUUGUCAAUCUUGCCAUCACCAUCAGUGUUAUUCUCCAUCAUUGAAAUGGGGGAUGCUCUGUGAUUUUGCUUAUUGUCUGUCAACCUGAGUUUACAUGCCAGCUUUUGGUCCCUCCUUACUUCAUUUUGAUCAAGAGCUUGCUGUCCAAGUUCAUCCAAAUGGCCAGGUUUGUCCCCUGGAAACU
This 699-nucleotide unclassified non-coding RNA is filed under the name Hevea brasiliensis (rubber tree). The record is from RNAcentral. Lineage: Eukaryota; Viridiplantae; Streptophyta; Magnoliopsida; Malpighiales; Euphorbiaceae.